AUGACGUCUGCAAAUGUAAUCAGUUAUCUAAGGCAAAGUCUGAAAGAGCCAUUUGGUAAAGAAAUCCAUGACACAGUUCUCCCUGCAACCCAACUCCAAAAUUCUGAUUUCAGCAUAUAUUUUCCGAGCAAAAGCAUGCAAGCGUCAAUGACUCCACAACAGAACAAAUCUGAUGCACAGCAAAAUUGUCUUUGGCAAACAAUCAUUUCCCAAAGUUUGCUACUCCCUUCGAUCCAUAGUAAUUGUCCAUUCUCUUAUAUUAAUAUGGAUCAGAGGGAGUACAUAUCUUGGUAUUACCCUAGGCCACCCCAUAUCAUCCAAAUUUAUUUUCAAAGAUGCAACACUUGCAGCGGUAGUAGCCUACACAGAGAGGUCAGAGCAGCAAUGCAGAUAGCCAACCAGUAG
RNAcentral lists this ribosomal RNA (405 nucleotides) under Triticum aestivum (bread wheat). Its description in RNAcentral is "partial small subunit ribosomal RNA". The record is from RNAcentral. Lineage: Eukaryota; Viridiplantae; Streptophyta; Magnoliopsida; Poales; Poaceae.